This 1952-nucleotide long non-coding RNA is filed under the name Gossypium barbadense (sea-island cotton). RNAcentral describes it as "long non-coding RNA (GBAR_LNC020385)". Lineage: Eukaryota; Viridiplantae; Streptophyta; Magnoliopsida; Malvales; Malvaceae. The record is from RNAcentral.
ACCACGCACAGAGUCCACCACCGGUGGUGACGGAAUAGUCUCCAAAAGGUUAGCAUGAAACGGCACCUCCUGAACCACGCGAAUUUAGCAACUUCCAUACUCCAACAACUCAUCCAUGAGGUGUUGUAACGGUAAGGCUUCCGACAAGAAUGACGCUAAGGUGAGCAUGGCGUUGAACUCCGGUGGUAGGCCCACAAGUACGAUCUCCAAUUUCUCUGCCUCCGAGAUCCAAGAUCGACAAGCCUCGAUUAAAGCACAGGUAUUCUGAAUCUUUACUACACACUCCUUUAUCGACAGAUUACCUUUCUUAAGCGAAUGUAAAUCAUGGCGAAUGCAAGAUAACUUGACACCUGUGGCGGUAGUGAAAAGGCAAGUGGCAGUGUUCCAAACAUCGCACGCCAUCCUAGCAUAUGUAAAAGAAGACAACAGUGAAGGACUAAUAGUAGAAAAUAACGAGAAAGAGGCAAGUAACCUAUCCUGCUGAACUAAUGCUGAGGCAUCUGGAUUUGGAACUAGAGAUCCCUCCGAAGACGGCACAAAAUGCGGCAGAACAGGUAACGUUCCCUCCAAAAAAAACCAUUGAAUUCAUAACCUUCAAUAAUCAAGUGAAUAUGUUGCUGCCUCUGUCAAUCAUUGUUGUCCGACGUUUACCAUGUUAAUAUCUACAAAAACUUGAAAGAAAAAUAGAAUAUGCAGAGAAUGAUUUUUGUAUUAUUAUCUUGAAUUUAACCAGUACAACUAUAGUAUUUAUAAAAUGUGUAUGAGUAACUGCUGCUAACAAUUUCACUUAACAACAUAACUGCUUGUAUAACAAACUAAAAACUAAUAGACUAAUAGAGUCUUUAUCUAUACUCUAACACUUUAAACAGAGCAAGUUAGAUUCAUCCUGGUUGGUUUUAAUUAAGUAAAGCACUUCAUUUUCUAUCAUAGGCAAUUAAUUUAAAAGUUGAAAAUUUAGUUUUAACACCUAUGAAAAACAAAAAUAUGGCAAUAUGAAAAAUGAAAUAAAAAAUCGAGUAAUAUGAAAGAAUGAGAUGAAAACCCCUUUAUGCAUUUAGAUGACAUGAUUGAGAAGUUGUAACUACUGAAAACCAGAGCCAAAAAUGAAAGGAAAUAAAAACUAUUGAAAUCGUUUAGGGCAUCCAUCCCCUUCUUCACCAUCAUGGCUAAAGCGUCUUUUGGUUUCGGCAGGUCUCAUUUCUGUAGCAUCAGCAUCACUCUCUGCAUCUACGUAAAAUACAUGAACACCACAUCUCUCCACCUUGAUAAAUUUUUCUGCUGCUUCUUCAUAAUGAUGGAAAUUUUUGAUGCAGAAAUCAAAUGAUGCCUCCUCAUAAUUCUUGUCUCUUUUAACCAUUUUGAUGCUAGAUAGAAUAAACACGUGAUCACCCAUGCAUUUCUCUGACUCAGAAGCAUCCAAGAAAGAUAUGGUACUUUUGAACUUUUUAUAACCACCAUCAGCGGCUGUAAGUUAGUAGCCACAAAUACAUUUAAGACUUCUCAAGCGAGGGCAGUGAGCGAGAUCAGCCACAAGGCAGAUAACAAAAACCAAAAAUCUGCUCCCACCACCCCCAUUUGGGGCUAUCUUCAAACUUAAGGAAGAAUUCAUACUCUGAUACUUGAACUUAUUUGUUGAAAUUUUGUUUCUUGGGAAACAACAAAUCAAACUUGGAAGGAUAUCACCCAGGUAUUUCCUACCAUAUGUCGCUGCCCGUUCCUUAGCUAGGGAUCCAAUUUUGAGCAUGGCAUUUGCCUCAAUGUUAUUAGUUGAUUCUUGAUUCAAGUUGAAGCAAUUACAGAAUAACAUGCAAAACACACCAUCACCUUCAUCACCUAACGAACCAAACUGAUAUAAAUUUUGAUCUGCAAAGGGAACUUUUUCUAAUUACGUGCAGUCAUGUACAUUCAAGUCGAGCAGAUAUGGUGGAAGCUCUGAGAGUAAUUUGAGGCUC